UGGGGAAUUUUGGACAAUGGGCGAAAGCCUGAUCCAGCAAUGCCGCGUGUGUGAAGAAGGCCUUCGGGUUGUAAAGCACUUUUGUCCGGAAAGAAAUGGCUCUGGUUAAUACCUGGGGUCGAUGACGGUACCGGAAGAAUAAGGACCGGCUAACUACGUGCCAGCAGCCGCGGUAAUACGUAGGGUCCAAGCGUUAAUCGGAAUUACUGGGCGUAAAGCGUGCGCAGGCGGUUGUGCAAGACCGAUGUGAAAUCCCCGAGCUUAACUUGGGAAUUGCAUUGGUGACUGCACGGCUAGAGUGUGUCAGAGGGGGGUUAGAAUUCCACGUGUAGCAGUGAAAUGCGUAGAGAUGUGGAGGAAUACCGAUGGCGAAGGCAGCCCCCUGGGAUAACACUGACGCUCAUGCACGAAAGCGUGGGGAGCAAACAGGAUUAGAUACCCUGGUAGUCCACGCCCUAAACGAUGUCAACUAGUUGUUGGGGGAUUUCAUUUUCCUUAGUAACGUAGCUAACGCGUGAAGUUGACCGCCUGGGGAGUACGG
This 541-nucleotide ribosomal RNA is filed under the name uncultured bacterium. Its description in RNAcentral is "partial 16S ribosomal RNA". It matches the Rfam family "Bacterial small subunit ribosomal RNA", at positions 355 to 885 of the family's 1533-position model. The record is from RNAcentral.